RNAcentral lists this transfer RNA (85 nucleotides) under Streptomyces lasiicapitis. Its description in RNAcentral is "tRNA-Val". The record is from RNAcentral. Lineage: Bacteria; Bacillati; Actinomycetota; Actinomycetes; Kitasatosporales; Streptomycetaceae.
CUCGGCGGUGGCGAGGGCGAUGUGGUCGCGGUUGAUGUCGACGCCGUCGGAGUUGCCGCGGGUGUUCGCGGCGCGCCCGUCGGGG